Molecule: ribosomal RNA, 279 nt
Filed under: uncultured bacterium
Lineage: Bacteria
Description: partial 16S ribosomal RNA
Rfam family: Bacterial small subunit ribosomal RNA
Source: RNAcentral
UGCCAGCAGCCGCGGUGAUACGGAGGGUCCAAGCGUUAUCCGGAUUUAUUGGGUUUAAAGGGUGCGCAGGCGGAACUUUAAGUCAGUGGUGAAAUCUUGCCGCUUAACUGUAGAACUGCCAUUGAUACUGUUUUUCUUGAGUAUAGAUGAAGUGGGCGGAAUAUAUCAUGUAGCGGUGAAAUGCAUAGAUAUGAUAUAGAACACCGAUUGCGAAGGCAGCUCACUAAACUAUUACUGACGCUCAGGGACGAAAGCGUGGGGAGCGAACAGGAUUAGAUA